This 2900-nucleotide ribosomal RNA is filed under the name Klebsiella pneumoniae. RNAcentral describes it as "bacterial LSU rRNA". It matches the Rfam family "Bacterial large subunit ribosomal RNA". The record is from RNAcentral. Lineage: Bacteria; Pseudomonadati; Pseudomonadota; Gammaproteobacteria; Enterobacterales; Enterobacteriaceae.
UUAAGCGACUAAGCGUACACGGUGGAUGCCCUGGCAGUCAGAGGCGAUGAAGGACGUGCUAAUCUGCGAAAAGCGUCGGUAAGGUGAUAUGAACCGUUAUAACCGGCGAUGUCCGAAUGGGGAAACCCAGUGCAAUUCGUUGCACUAUCGUUAACUGAAUACAUAGGUUAACGAGGCGAACCGGGGGAACUGAAACAUCUAAGUACCCCGAGGAAAAGAAAUCAACCGAGAUUCCCCCAGUAGCGGCGAGCGAACGGGGAGCAGCCCAGAGUCUGAAUCAGCUUGUGUGUUAGUGGAACGGUCUGGAAAGUCCGACGGUACAGGGUGAUAGUCCCGUACACCAAAAUGCACAGGUUGUGAACUCGAAGAGUAGGGCGGGACACGUGGUAUCCUGUCUGAAUAUGGGGGGACCAUCCUCCAAGGCUAAAUACUCCUGACUGACCGAUAGUGAACCAGUACCGUGAGGGAAAGGCGAAAAGAACCCCGGCGAGGGGAGUGAAAAAGAACCUGAAACCGUGUACGUACAAGCAGUGGGAGCACCUUCGGGUGUGACUGCGUACCUUUUGUAUAAUGGGUCAGCGACUUAUAUUCUGUAGCAAGGUUAACCGUAUAGGGGAGCCGCAGGGAAACCGAGUCUUAACUGGGCGUUAAGUUGCAGGGUAUAGACCCGAAACCCGGUGAUCUAGCCAUGGGCAGGUUGAAGGUUGGGUAACACUAACUGGAGGACCGAACCGACUAAUGUUGAAAAAUUAGCGGAUGACUUGUGGCUGGGGGUGAAAGGCCAAUCAAACCGGGAGAUAGCUGGUUCUCCCCGAAAGCUAUUUAGGUAGCGCCUCGUGAACUCAUCUUCGGGGGUAGAGCACUGUUUCGGCUAGGGGGUCAUCCCGACUUACCAACCCGAUGCAAACUACGAAUACCGAAGAAUGUUAUCACGGGAGACACACGGCGGGUGCUAACGUCCGUCGUGAAGAGGGAAACAACCCAGACCGCCAGCUAAGGUCCCAAAGUCAUGGUUAAGUGGGAAACGAUGUGGGAAGGCACAGACAGCCAGGAUGUUGGCUUAGAAGCAGCCAUCAUUUAAAGAAAGCGUAAUAGCUCACUGGUCGAGUCGGCCUGCGCGGAAGAUGUAACGGGGCUAAACCAUGCACCGAAGCUGCGGCAGCGACACUAUGUGUUGUUGGGUAGGGGAGCGUUCUGUAAGCCUGCGAAGGUGUGCUGUGAGGCAUGCUGGAGGUAUCAGAAGUGCGAAUGCUGACAUAAGUAACGAUAAAGCGGGUGAAAAGCCCGCUCGCCGGAAGACCAAGGGUUCCUGUCCAACGUUAAUCGGGGCAGGGUGAGUCGACCCCUAAGGCGAGGCCGAAAGGCGUAGUCGAUGGGAAACAGGUUAAUAUUCCUGUACUUGGUGUUACUGCGAAGGGGGGACGGAGAAGGCUAUGUUAGCCGGGCGACGGUUGUCCCGGUUUAAGCAUGUAGGCUGGUUGUCCAGGCAAAUCCGGAUAAUCAAGGCUGAGGUGUGAUGACGAGGCACUACGGUGCUGAAGUAACAAAUGCCCUGCUUCCAGGAAAAGCCUCUAAGCAUCAGGUAACAUUAAAUCGUACCCCAAACCGACACAGGUGGUCAGGUAGAGAAUACCAAGGCGCUUGAGAGAACUCGGGUGAAGGAACUAGGCAAAAUGGUGCCGUAACUUCGGGAGAAGGCACGCUGGUGUGUAGGUGAAGUCCCUGCGGAUGGAGCUGAGACCAGUCGAAGAUACCAGCUGGCUGCAACUGUUUAUUAAAAACACAGCACUGUGCAAACACGAAAGUGGACGUAUACGGUGUGACGCCUGCCCGGUGCCGGAAGGUUAAUUGAUGGGGUUAUCCGUAAGGAGAAGCUCUUGAUCGAAGCCCCGGUAAACGGCGGCCGUAACUAUAACGGUCCUAAGGUAGCGAAAUUCCUUGUCGGGUAAGUUCCGACCUGCACGAAUGGCGUAAUGAUGGCCAGGCUGUCUCCACCCGAGACUCAGUGAAAUUGAACUCGCUGUGAAGAUGCAGUGUACCCGCGGCAAGACGGAAAGACCCCGUGAACCUUUACUAUAGCUUGACACUGAACAUUGAGCCUUGAUGUGUAGGAUAGGUGGGAGGCUUUGAAGCGUGGACGCCAGUCUGCGUGGAGCCAACCUUGAAAUACCACCCUUUAAUGUUUGAUGUUCUAACGUUGGCCCCUGACCGGGGUUGCGGACAGUGUCUGGUGGGUAGUUUGACUGGGGCGGUCUCCUCCCAAAGCGUAACGGAGGAGCACGAAGGUUAGCUAAUCCUGGUCGGACAUCAGGAGGUUAGUGCAAUGGCAUAAGCUAGCUUGACUGCGAGCGUGACGGCGCGAGCAGGUGCGAAAGCAGGUCAUAGUGAUCCGGUGGUUCUGAAUGGAAGGGCCAUCGCUCAACGGAUAAAAGGUACUCCGGGGAUAACAGGCUGAUACCGCCCAAGAGUUCAUAUCGACGGCGGUGUUUGGCACCUCGAUGUCGGCUCAUCACAUCCUGGGGCUGAAGUAGGUCCCAAGGGUAUGGCUGUUCGCCAUUUAAAGUGGUACGCGAGCUGGGUUUAGAACGUCGUGAGACAGUUCGGUCCCUAUCUGCCGUGGGCGCUGGAGAAUUGAGGGGGGCUGCUCCUAGUACGAGAGGACCGGAGUGGACGCAUCACUGGUGUUCGGGUUGUCAUGCCAAUGGCACUGCCCGGUAGCUAAAUGCGGAAGAGAUAAGUGCUGAAAGCAUCUAAGCACGAAACUUGCCCCGAGAUGAGUUCUCCCUGAGACUUUAAGUCUCCUGAAGGAACGUUAAAGACGAUGACGUUGAUAGGCCGGGUGUGUAAGCGCAGCGAUGCGUUGAGCUAACCGGUACUAAUGAACCGUGAGGCUUAACCUU